UUAAACUAUGAAUUGCUGCGCAGAGCAUACACAGAGUACAAUUGGAAACUAUAAACCAUGAUAUUUUGUCAAAGUGCGCUACAACAAUUUGACAAUUUUUUUGGGUAUAAGUACCUAUGCUAUAUAAUGGUUUGCGUUGGCUGACUACAACAAAAUACCUACAUCUUUUCUUUGCCUACCAAGCUUCAAAUGGCUUUAUACCUACAAUGCACGGAGUGCGGCUGCUUUGCAAGGCUUGGAGGUUGUGCUCGUUUGGGACAGCUUUACCUUCUGGCUUAUCGUGAUAAACAUAAAGGCACGUAUCGGAGGGGGUAAGUUGUUCCAGCACUUACUAGCAGCAUACUUGAAGGAACCACGGAAUGCUGCUGUUUUGAAGCUUGGCGUCACCAGCAUAUACGAAGAAGCACGCGUGUUAUGCCUGUUGUGAGUACUAGACCAGUCUAAUUUAGUAUAGAGGUAGUCAGGAGAACGUGUUUUAAUAAUUUUAAAUAAUAGGGUUGCAAAAUGAAGUUGUCUUCUGGCCUGUAAUUUUAACAAAUUUGAAUUAUUGAGGUAAGGGGUAACAUGCGCGCGCGGAGCUAUGUUGAAGCAAAAACGAGCGCAUGCAUUUUGCACCCUUUGAAUAAGUUUCUGCGUUCGCGCCAGUAGACAUGGGCCGUAUACUGUGUCUGCAUAGUUAAGUUUAGAAAGAAUUAAUGUUUCGCAAACUUUUAUUCUUAGGUCUGUGUUAAGGUAAGGACGAAUAUUGUAAAGUAUUUUGAUCUUAUAAAAACAAUUUCUUAUAAUGUCUAACAGAUGCGACUCAAAACGAAGAUGUUGAUCAAACUUCACUCCUAAAUUGCGUGCUUCUCGCACACGCUCUAUACUGUUUCCUUUAAUUCUUAUAUCUGGCUGUAGGUUUUCAAUAUUUUCAAUCUGUUUUUUACUUCCUAUUAUCAUAAAUUUUGACUUCACGGGGUUCAGAACCAAAGAGUUCCGUGACGACCAGUCCGCUACGCGGUCUAAAUCAUCAUUUA
This is a long non-coding RNA of Plutella xylostella (diamondback moth), 1016 nucleotides long. RefSeq lists it as uncharacterized. NCBI's taxonomy places the organism in Eukaryota, Metazoa, Arthropoda, Insecta, Lepidoptera, Plutellidae. The record is from RefSeq and is a predicted model, not a curated record.